ACUGGUGAGUAACGCGUGAGGAACCUGCCUUUCAGAGGGGGACAACAGUUGGAAACGACUGCUAAUACCGCAUGAUGCAUUUGGGCGACAUCGCCUGAAUGUCAAAGAUUUAUCGCUGAAAGAUGGCCUCGCGUCUGAUUAGAUAGUUGGUGAGGUAACGGCCCACCAAGUCGACGAUCAGUAGCCGGACUGAGAGGUUGACCGGCCACAUUGGGACUGAGAUACGGCCCAGACUCCUACGGGAGGCAGCAGUGGGGAAUAUUGGGCAAUGGACGCAAGUCUGACCCAGCAACGCCGCGUGAAGGAAGAAGGCUUUCGGGUUGUAAACUUCUUUUAAGGGGGAAGAGUAGAAGACGGUACCCCUUGAAUAAGCCACGGCUAACUACGUGCCAGCAGCCGCGGUAAUACGUAGGUGGCAAGCGUUGUCCGGAUUUACUGGGUGUAAAGGGCGUGUAGCCGGGAAGGUAAGUCAGAUGUGAAAUCUGGGGGCUCAACCUCCAAACUGCAUUUGAAACUACUUUUCUUGAGUACAGUAGAGGUGGGCGGAAUUCGUGGUGUAGCGGCGAAAUGCUUAGAUAUCACGAAGAACUCCGAUUGCGAAGGCAGCUCACUGGACUGUUGACUGACACUGAGGCUCGAAAGUGUGGGUAUCAAACAGGAUUAGAUACCCUGGUAGUCCACACAGUAAACGAUGAAUACUCGCUGUUUGCGAUAUACAGCAAGCGGCCAAGCGAAAGCAUUAAGUAUUCCACCUGGGGAGUACGCCGGCAACGGUGAAACUCAAAUGAAUUGACGG
Molecule: ribosomal RNA, 796 nt
Filed under: uncultured bacterium
Lineage: Bacteria
Description: bacterial SSU rRNA
Rfam family: Bacterial small subunit ribosomal RNA
Source: RNAcentral